GGGGAAUAUUGCACAAUGGGGGAAACCCUGAUGCAGCAACGCCGCGUGAGUGAUGACGGUCUUCGGAUUGUAAAGCUCUGUCUUCAGGGACGAUAAUGACGGUACCUGAGGAGGAAGCCACGGCUAACUACGUGCCAGCAGCCGCGGUAAUACGUAGGUGGCAAGCGUUGUCCGGAUUUACUGGGCGUAAAGGGAGCGUAGGUGGAUAUUUAAGUGGGAUGUGAAAUACUCGGGCUUAACCUGGGUGCUGCAUUCCAAACUGGAUAUCUAGAGUGCAGGAGAGGAAAGUAGAAUUCCUAGUGUAGCGGUGAAAUGCGUAGAGAUUAGGAAGAAUACCAGUGGCGAAGGCGACUUUCUGGACUGUAACUGACACUGAGGCUCGAAAGCGUGGGGAGCAAAC
This 400-nucleotide ribosomal RNA is filed under the name uncultured bacterium. RNAcentral describes it as "bacterial SSU rRNA". It matches the Rfam family "Bacterial small subunit ribosomal RNA", at positions 356 to 773 of the family's 1533-position model. The record is from RNAcentral.